This 73-nucleotide transfer RNA is filed under the name Mesocricetus auratus (golden hamster). It matches the Rfam family "tRNA". Rfam says of the family: Transfer RNA (tRNA) molecules are approximately 80 nucleotides in length. The record is from Rfam by way of RNAcentral. Lineage: Eukaryota; Metazoa; Chordata; Mammalia; Rodentia; Cricetidae.
GAAGACAUGGCUCAGCAGUUAAGAGCACUGGCUGUUCUUGCAGAGGAUCUGGGUUUGAUUCCCAGCAUCUGCA